AGUAGUCGGGCGAAAUUGGCGUGUAACAAUUAAAGAACUCCUUUAAUUAGUUGCCGACUCGCCUUAUAAGCUGGGUACAGAGGCAUAACACCUUAGUCCACAGCCAUGGCAACGCAUGAAGGAUAUCAUGGGUGACGUAGUAUACUUUGUUAUGUCCAUGGUACUGAUAUAGGCGACAGGUUACCACUUUCCGUCAGUGGCAGAUUUAGCAGCAGGCUGAGUAGGCUAAAGUCUAGAGCGGCAAAUUUGAAGCCAAUUUUGAUUGCGAAUUACGAUAUUGAAUUAUAGAACUCAGUAGAAGCGGUAAAAUUUACAUACUCUACUGGGGGAAAAGAUGUAUAUCCGCUACUGAUUUUUUUUUUUAUUAAAUGUCACUGUUAACACAGUGAUACUUAAUACAUACGUAAAAUUUUAAUAAUAUAUCAACUUAACUUGAUAAAAAAUAUUAAAGAUUUUACGAAAAAUUUUUUUUAUCACAGUAGGCAUUUAAGAAUUCAUUCACCAUUUUCAUCUAAAUAAAUUAAAUAUUACUCUUAUUAAAUCUAUAUAAGUUGAACCUAAAUUUUUUAAUAUCUCUGUAGAUUAUUGAUGCCCUUUAAUUCCUCUUCCUUUCUUUGAAGAAGCAAAAUAGAUAAAAUCAUAUCGGAAAAAUUAGUUCAGAGUAUGAUAUACCACAAAGCCGAUAUACCUAAAGAAGGUGAAAGCCCUUGAAAAUAAAACACAAUAAGUAUUCUAUUUUAUUGUUAUAACUGUUUGUAUUCUGGAGUAAAAAACUAUAAGUAUUGUAAAUUGUUUGUCACCCUACCGGUGUAACCGUAUACUGUAAAUGACUAGCAAUUAGUUGCGUAGUUACGUAUCGAGUUACAGUUUUGUCGAAUCGAGUUGAUAGUGGAUAGAGAUAGCAGGAUAGAUAUGAUGUUGUUGAUUAGAAAAAAAAUGUUUCUAUAGAUACCUCGAUGAUGAUCACGGUCAUUAAAAGCUUUAAAAUACUCAGCCAUAGAGAGAAUGCUCGGAGUUUUUUUGCGUGAUAGAAUUCGCAAAAAGGAUAUCCGUAGGAGAACCAAAGUGACUAAAAAACCUUGAAGGAUAAACAACCUGAAGUGGCAAUGGGCUGAUCACAGCUCGAAGAACUGCCAACCGAAGGGGAAGAAAGAUUCUUAAGUGGAAACCUCCGUACAGGCACACCCAGUGUAGGAUGACUCUCGACGAUGGAGUGACGACCUAAUGCAUUGCAGGGAGCCACCUGCAUGAUAGCUUAUGAUCGUUCCUUAUAGUCUAUGAGGGAGGUCUAUGUACAGCAGUGGACAAACAAGGACUGGUAUGAUGAUGAUGAUGAUGAUGAUAGAUACUUCGAUAUUUACGUCAUCAAAAUCAAAAUACGUAGAACAUUAUACAGUACAAGUAAAUUUGGGAUAAUAAAUUAUUUCAUGAAUUAUAUUGCUGACUUAAAAUACAACUAGAUUCUCUUGACGAGAUUUGUAUACAAUUUAAAAAUCUUGUCUGCAUCAUGUUAAGAAAUUCUCUCACAACUUCUAUGUUCUGUGUGGUGCAGGCGAUGAAAAUUUCCCGCUGUGCAGCGGGCACCGGAUUUUAUAACAAGUUGUCGCUGCAUUACGUACAUUGCGAUGCACGUAAAUAAAAUACAAAAAUAUGUCGUCUAUUGCUCUAUGGGUCAUGUAGCAUCGGCAUAGAUUAAUGGACGUGGAGAUUGCUUUUUUAAAUUAUUUUGGCGCCAAACUAAUUUUGUAUCUGCUGUCAGCCUACAAUUUUGUAUAUUGUUUUUAUUUGAAUUUGAUAAGUUGUUACCAGUAAAGUUUUCUGAAUGCCUCCCAAUUGAGUUAGAUGGACUAAUUUUGCGAUCAAAGUUUUUAAUGGCUGAAAAUGAAAUAGUUACCCUACUUACGCUAGUAACACUAGUGACGAAUAAUAGAUAAGGAUAAAGCAUGUCAAUUGGCCCAUUGUGAGGAAUUCAUUAAUAAUUAAUUACAAUGGUUUCCGCGUGGAGGUCGACUUGAUGUGGUAUAUUGCUCUUUCCUCUCAUACUAAUAUUACCGCGUCGUACGUUUAUAUAUAAUACGCUUAUAUAUAUAUCAGUGCUUUCCAUAUUGACAUAUUGAGCUAAACUGAUAUAUAUAUAUAUUAUAGAAAAAAUAUUUCUAAAGUAUAUAUUUUUCGGGAAAAUAUUGAAAAUCAUUAGUAGAAAUCACAUUGCAAAGACAUGAUUUUGAUUUUACUAUGAAUAUCUUAGACAUCUUCGUGUUGGCAACAAUAUAAUAAGGAAGACACCAAAAGUUUCAGUGACAGAAAAUUAAUCUAUCAUAGGUGUGAAUUAAAUAGAUUUAAGUACUAAUCAAUGAUAAGGUGCAUGUACGUCAUAAUAAAACGUUUUGUUAGGUCGAUUUAUCAACACUAUUCAUGGCGGGGAUAUAAAUAAAAUUGACAUUAUCAGCCAGUGAUAACACGACCUCGAUCAGUCAUUCCGAUAUUGAAGUAGAUAUAGGUACCUAUCUUGCGCAAUACAUAUAUUGCCAUAUAUCUAUCCAAAACUAGGUAAAUUCUGCAUACUAUAGACAAGUUGGCACCUACUCUUAUCUAUUCUGUAUUUAAAAGUAAGUAAAUAUGUUUUAAAUGUGUACAUUGUCUAUGAUUACAGAUACUCUGUUGCAUAAUAAUGUAUAAUCUCGUACUAUCCUUUAUGUAUAUAAUAAACUAACUUCCAUAUACAGUAUUUUAGCAAUUCAAGUGUUUAUUGUACACACAUAUAUUACGUGUGUGUAAAAACCGCCGUGUGGCCCCAGCAUAGAAUAGGCUACCCCUUCUUUUCCCGUGGGUCUCGUAAGAGGCGACUAAGUGAGAGCCAGGGAUGGGGAGCAGCGUCUCUCUUAUAAUAUCUCCCUCACCUAACUGCGGUUGCCAAUUCGUCUGCUAAGCGUGGCAAUUACAGGCAAAAUACCCCAAGGGGUAUGCUUAUGGUCAGCAGUAAAUAGUUAAAGGCUGAUAUGAUGAUGAUGAUGUAUAAAAGGAAAUUUAUGAAUUUACUAUGUUUGUCGUUUCAACAAUUGUCGGAAUUGUUUCGACUUAAU
This is a long non-coding RNA of Galleria mellonella (greater wax moth), 3083 nucleotides long. RefSeq lists it as uncharacterized. The record is from RefSeq and is a predicted model, not a curated record. NCBI's taxonomy places the organism in Eukaryota, Metazoa, Arthropoda, Insecta, Lepidoptera, Pyralidae. The transcript has 3 exons.